GCCAGACUCCUACGGGAGGCAGCAGUGGGGAAUAUUGGGCAAUGGACGCAAGCCUGACCCAGCAACGCCGCGUGAAGGAAGAAGGCUUUCGGGUUGUAAACUAUUGUCCACAGGGAAGAAAAAGACUGUACCUGUGAAGAAAGCUCCGGCUAACUACGUGCCAGCAGCCGCGGUAAUACGUAGGGAGCAAGCGUUAUCCGGAUUUAUUGGGUGUAAAGGGUGCGUAGACGGGAUAACAAGUUAGUUGUGAAAACCCUCGGCCCAACUGAGGAACUGCAACUAAAACUAUUAUUCUUGAGUGCAGGAGGGGAAAGUGGAAUUCCUAGUGUAGCGGUGAAAUGCGUAGAUAUUAGGAAGAACACCAGUGGCGAAGGCGACUUUCUGGACUGUAACUGACGUUGAGGCACGAAAGUGUGGGGAGCAAACAGGAUUAGAUACCCCAGUAGC
RNAcentral lists this ribosomal RNA (447 nucleotides) under uncultured bacterium. RNAcentral describes it as "bacterial SSU rRNA". It matches the Rfam family "Bacterial small subunit ribosomal RNA", at positions 330 to 794 of the family's 1533-position model. The record is from RNAcentral.